Molecule: ribosomal RNA, 764 nt
Filed under: uncultured bacterium
Lineage: Bacteria
Description: bacterial SSU rRNA
Rfam family: Bacterial small subunit ribosomal RNA
Source: RNAcentral
UGGCGGCAGGCCUAACACAUGCAAGUCGAGCGGUAGAGAGAAGCUUGCUUCUCUUGAGAGCGGCGGACGGGUGAGUAAUGCCUAGGAAUCUGCCUGGUAGUGGGGGAUAACGUUCGGAAACGGACGCUAAUACCGCAUACGUCCUACGGGAGAAAGCAGGGGACCUUCGGGCCUUGCGCUAUCAGAUGAGCCUAGGUCGGAUUAGCUAGUUGGUGAGGUAAUGGCUCACCAAGGCGACGAUCCGUAACUGGUCUGAGAGGAUGAUCAGUCACACUGGAACUGAGACACGGUCCAGACUCCUACGGGAGGCAGCAGUGGGGAAUAUUGGACAAUGGGCGAAAGCCUGAUCCAGCCAUGCCGCGUGUGUGAAGAAGGUCUUCGGAUUGUAAAGCACUUUAAGUUGGGAGGAAGGGUUGUAGAUUAAUACUCUGCAAUUUUGACGUUACCGACAGAAUAAGCACCGGCUAACUCUGUGCCAGCAGCCGCGGUAAUACAGAGGGUGCAAGCGUUAAUCGGAAUUACUGGGCGUAAAGCGCGCGUAGGUGGUUUGUUAAGUUGGAUGUGAAAUCCCCGGGCUCAACCUGGGAACUGCAUUCAAAACUGACUGACUAGAGUAUGGUAGAGGGUGGUGGAAUUUCCUGUGUAGCGGUGAAAUGCGUAGAUAUAGGAAGGAACACCUGUGGCGAAGGCGACCACCUGGACUAAUACUGACACUGAGGUGCGAAAGCGUGGGGAGCAAACAGGAUUAGAUACCCUGGUAGUCC